UGUUUGCACUUAGCGGGAAGGGUAAGAACCUUCGACUAAGGUUCGACUCGAGCGCCAGCGAGAGAACGUUGCCACAGGCAACGGCCCGAAGGGCGAGGAGAGAU
Molecule: small RNA, 104 nt
Filed under: Klebsiella pneumoniae
Lineage: Bacteria; Pseudomonadati; Pseudomonadota; Gammaproteobacteria; Enterobacterales; Enterobacteriaceae
Description: partial RtT sRNA
Rfam family: RtT RNA
About the family: This family represents a bacterial cis-regulatory element known as RtT RNA. The exact function of RtT is unknown although it is thought that it may be involved in changing the cellular response in relation to amino acid starvation.
Source: RNAcentral